GUAACAACGAACUGCGAGAAGUCAGCCGAUGCCAUAGUACCCGAAAAAAAAAUAAUAAUAAUCGGCACGUUCGGGGAAGGGC
This 82-nucleotide non-coding RNA is filed under the name human gut metagenome. The record is from RNAcentral.